ACUUUUAACAACGGAUCUCUUGGUUCUCGCAUCGAUGAAGAACGUAGCAAAGUGCGAUAACUAGUGUGAAUUGCAUAUUCAGUGAAUCAUCGAGUCUUUGAACGCAACUUGCGCUCAAUGGUAUUCCAUUGAGCACGCCUGUUUCAGUAUC
RNAcentral lists this ribosomal RNA (151 nucleotides) under Mucor hiemalis. RNAcentral describes it as "5.8S ribosomal RNA". It matches the Rfam family "5.8S ribosomal RNA". Rfam says of the family: 5.8S ribosomal RNA (5.8S rRNA) is a component of the large subunit of the eukaryotic ribosome. Lineage: Eukaryota; Fungi; Mucoromycota; Mucoromycetes; Mucorales; Mucoraceae. The record is from RNAcentral.